Molecule: non-coding RNA, 271 nt
Organism: Cinara cedri
Lineage: Eukaryota; Metazoa; Arthropoda; Insecta; Hemiptera; Aphididae
Source: the annotation of a GenBank genome assembly
UGUGUAUGGGAUAUUAUAAUAUAUUAUUAUUAUUAUAUAGUCCCCUUCGCCAGCACCCGGUCUGCACAUCACAAAAACCGAAAAAAAAGAAAAGAUUCCCUCAUCUGUGCCGGGACGCAUUCCGAUCGUUCACACACACAAAAACAGCAGAGAUAGUAUGUCAGAGACUAGGUACUUGCUAUAUAAUAUAAUAUCAUAUAUACCGUCGUCGUAAACAAUAUAAUAUUAUGGGACGUGCACUCUUAUUAUUAUUACUGUACUUGAGGGGAAU